Molecule: long non-coding RNA, 1412 nt
Organism: Toxorhynchites rutilus septentrionalis
Lineage: Eukaryota; Metazoa; Arthropoda; Insecta; Diptera; Culicidae
Exons: 3
Source: RefSeq, a predicted model, not a curated record
CAAAGGAAAGUGCAAACACGUCAUGGCUGUUUUGUAUCAUUUGCUUAAGUAUGUUUUAUUUUAUUUCUUUAUUAUUGCACAUUUUGCACCAAGUUGGACUGUUUCACACUUUUUCAAAAGUGCGAAAAUGUGAAUGUGAAUACUUGGAGAGUAGAAGUUCGACACGGUGAAAUGGAGGCUACAAAUACGGGAGGUUUUUGUAGGUUCUAUCUUUAGCCGUAGUCGUUGGAUCCAGUCUAGAUACCGCGAUUUGUCCGUUUUCAGAGGGAAGGCAUGAAAAGAAAUUCCGGGGCGAUAUCUCUGCUUACAUCCGGGGACGACACAAAAAAUACGGCUUUUGAAUUUUGCAGAUUAUUCGGAGUCAGCUUCAAGCAAAUUUCGUCCGACUUGCAUGUUCUCCGGGCAAUUUGCGCAGCUUUUGACGUCCAUAUUUCACACGUUCUAAGGAAAAUAUUUUGAAAAAUAUUAGAGCACUGAUUGAAUAGAAGCCAGAUCUUUGUAUUUUAGGUAGAUUGACAGAGAGCGUGCUUCAACGGCUUUUUUUCACUACUAAAUGACAAUAAAUUUUGGUUCGGAGCAUCGAAACAGCUAAGAAAAACUAUUUUUCAACAAUUUCCACUAAUGGUAAGAUAAACACGGUACAAGUUUUCGAGAAAUCAGUAUAUUAAUUACAGAGAAAAUAUGCAUCGGUUUGUUUACAUAUUUUUCACUCACACGCGAAACUUUCAUAGGUGGCGACACCGUACCUUCGAUGACGCGAAUUGCACUGAAAUGUCCUGUGCAUUAUUCGGGAGAUCGAAGCUGAGUUUGACAGCCAGUUUAUAUGAAGCAAAGAUAAACAAAACGCAAAGCAAAAAGUGGUGGAUUUUAACAAGUAGUUUCAAAAAGAUAAUGAGUUUAAUUUUGAUAUAGGAGCUAUUGGGAGAAAACGCAACCUGCAAUGUAUUUGUGGGCUUGGCAGAUAUUUUUAAUUUCGCUACCGAAGGUAGUCGUUUGGUCGUCGAGGGCAAUUUUACAUACUUGGUGGAAGGAUAUGCAACGCGCGGAUAUGAAGAUUUCAGGCACGGUUGGUUAUUAACGGCUCAAUCUCCAUACUGAGCCAUUGAAGUAUUCGAGGUACCAAAUAUCAUCCGUUCUCAAUGAAAGGUUACAAUAUAUUUGGCCAAUAUUUAAUUUAUAAUCAGGAACGACUACACAAAUCGAGCGACAAAAGCAAUUUCCUUAUUGUAAGGCAAUUCGUCCAAUUUUUUAGGUUUACAUUUCAAAGGAUCUGGUGAAAAGAUUUACGAGUUCUUUUAGUGAUGAUUAUAUACAGCUCCGGAUUAUGUAACCUGAUCAUGCGAACAACAUUUGAAAAUGAUUUCAUUCAAUGUUUGAAAAUUUACAACUUCCCUUUGAUCAUGCUAAUCUCA